This 251-nucleotide ribosomal RNA is filed under the name uncultured bacterium. Its description in RNAcentral is "partial 16S ribosomal RNA". It matches the Rfam family "Bacterial small subunit ribosomal RNA", at positions 524 to 776 of the family's 1533-position model. The record is from RNAcentral.
UACGAAGGGGGCUAGCGUUGCUCGGAAUCACUGGGCGUAAAGCGCACGUAGGCGGAUUGUUAAGUCAGGGGUGAAAUCCUGGAGCUCAACUCCAGAACUGCCUUUGAUACUGGCGAUCUUGAGUCCGGGAGAGGUGAGUGGAACUCCGAGUGUAGAGGUGAAAUUCGUAGAUAUUCGGAAGAACACCAGUGGCGAAGGCGGCUCACUGGCCCGGUACUGACGCUGAGGUGCGAAAGCGUGGGAGCAACAGG